Molecule: ribosomal RNA, 2034 nt
Filed under: Triticum aestivum (bread wheat)
Lineage: Eukaryota; Viridiplantae; Streptophyta; Magnoliopsida; Poales; Poaceae
Description: partial small subunit ribosomal RNA
Source: RNAcentral
AUGGAUCAUCCGAAAAAUAUAGUAACACAACAUAUCCAGGAAGAGCGUAGAUCGAAAUGGAUUGCACAGAGCAAUCAUAAUUUGAAAUGUUUUACAGAAGAUGAGAUAAGAAGAUUUACCAACAACUACAAGACUGUACUCGGUAGAGGUGCCUUUGGAGAAGUUUAUGAAGGAGUCCUUGAGGACGAAAGUGUGGUUGCAGUCAAGAAGUUUAUCCAAAAUGAAAAAGAAAAUUUUGCCAAAGAGUUCAUCAUCCACCGUGAAAUUAAUCACAAGAAUGUAGUCAGAUUAGUCGGCUACUGUUCAGAUGCAAAUGCCCAAAUGUUGCUCAUGGAGUAUAUUCCUAAAGGAAAUCUGAGUAACAUCCUUCACCAUGAUAACAUUCCAAUAGCUUUGGAUACACGGCUAAGAAUUGCCACUGAAUGUGCAGAAGCAUUGCAUUAUAUGCAUUCAUACAUGAAUACUCCGGUAAUUCAUGGUGAUAUCAAGCCUGCUAAUAUACUUCUGGAUGACAAACUCGGAGCAAAAAUAUCAGACUUUGGAAUAUCAAGACUAGUCACCAGUGAAAAUACUCUAUAUACUCAAAGUGUGAUAGGAAGUAUAGGCUACAUGGACCCUCUGUUUGCUCGGAGUGGUCGCCUCAGCACAAAGAGUGAUGUUUACAGUUUUGGAGUUGUGCUCCUGGAACUGAUAACCAGAAAAAAAGCAAGAACAGAGGAUGAGGAGAUUAACUUGGUUGAAAGUUUUUUUCAUUCUCUUUCAAAAGGGUUUAGGAGGGUAAGGGAGAUGUUUGAUCCUGAAAUUGCAACAUCGAGCGACAUGAAGACUAUCGAUGAGACUGCAAAGUUGGCAGGUAAAUGCUUGGGGAUGGAACUCAGCAAACGUCCUGAGAUGUUAGAAGUAGCAGAAAGUCUUCGCAAACUUAGAAAAGCUGCACACCACACACAAGAAAGAAUAGCUCUGUUUUCUUGGGGAAGGAAACAAAAACUCAGUCCGACCGAAAUACCAUCGCUAGAAAGCAGUAGCAAUAGCCAAAAUAUGAGAACUGUAGCUACAGCUGAAAUGACCCCAUCACAAGAAAGCAAUGGUAGUACCCCAAAAACAGGAAGUGUGGCUUCAGCCAAAGAUCUAUCCGAGGGAAGCAGUAGCAGUACCCGAAAUGUGGGAACUUUUAUCAUUAGAUCGACAGUGACAGGCCAAUUGUUUGAGAUGGAGGACCUGCUUCGGGCAUCGGCUGAAGUUCUGGGCAAGGGUACAGUCGGGACAACAUACAAAGCGACUCUUGAAAGUGGAUAUGAGGUAGUGACCAAGAGGCUGACGGGUGUGGAGUUGCCGAAUGCGGAAUUUGAGCAGCAUAUCACGCUGAUAGGUGCCAUCGAGAACAAGCACAUUGUGCCACUGCAAUGGUAUUACUGUAGCACGGAUGAGAAGUUGCUAGUGUAUGAUAUCAUCCCCAUGGGUAGCCUAGCAAAAGUGCUCCACGGUGACAGAGACUCCGGUCCAUCUCCACUGAACUGGGAGCAGCGGUCAGCCAUCUCACUUGCUGCUGCGCGCGGUGUGGCGGCUAUCCAUUUAGCUGGACCAUCGAGCUGCCAUGGCAACAUCAAGUCUUCCAACAUCCUGCUCACGGGUACCCACGAUGCAUGUGUGUCGGAGCACGGCCUGAUAACACUUGGCACGUAUCCCAAUGCCUCCGGCUACCGCGCGCCUGAGCUCAUCGACAAUAAGUUGUUCUCCCAGGAAGCCGACGUGUACAGUUUCGGCAUCCUACUACUGGAGCUUCUCACACGCAAGGCCCCAACAAAUAGCAUAACGAAUAAGCAGGGAGUAGAUUUACCACGGUGGGUUUAUUCCGUUGAUUGGACGGCGGAGGUGUUUGACGUGGAGCUCCGAGGGCAAGAGCAGAAAGACGGGGUAGAAGAGUGCAUGGUGCGAAUUCUGCAUGUCGCCAUGAACUGUUGCAGUCAAUAUGUUGACUCAAGGCCUACAAUGUCUUAUGUUGUGCAGCAGAUCGAGGAGAUCCUUCAGUCCUGA